Molecule: long non-coding RNA, 529 nt
Organism: Tupaia belangeri chinensis (Chinese tree shrew)
Lineage: Eukaryota; Metazoa; Chordata; Mammalia; Scandentia; Tupaiidae
Exons: 3
Source: RefSeq, a predicted model, not a curated record
AAGGAUAAUGACGUGUAAAGGUGCUUUCGAGUAAUCUGACCCCGUGCUACGGGGCGGCCAGCGCGGCUGGCCCCAUUUUACAGGUGAAGUGAGUCCGCCCAAGGGUAAGGCUUGCCCGAGGCUACGCAGCGGCUGCACCUGGAGCACUACCGGGCUCCCGCGCCCGAGAACCUCAUCCUGGAAUUCACCUAACGCUUGCGAGCCCGUCACAAACGGGGCUGCGAUUGGACAUCGGGCCUUUCUAGACCCUCUUUAAUUUUUGGAAACUACAAAAACCCAUUCACCUGCAAUUGGACUCUCAAGAUGAACACGAACACCUCUAAGUGCACAAUAUGUGGAUAGCAAGCAUUGUAUCCCAGAGGAGAUCUGAGGGUCAGUUGAACGAUGGUAGAAGACGGUGAAUUCUCAGAGACAGCGAGGAAGAGACCAGUCCCAGAUUCACCCAUUUGUCAGAGAGCUUCAGAACCGAGCCAGAAUCGGGCUGGCAGGUGGCGUGGUGGCUAAGUUGCUCGACUCCCACAUGACCAAC